CUCCGGGCUCUGUUUCGCUGAUAUUUCAUUCCAUCUAUACGUGCUUUUGGUCUCUCUUUUUGUUUGAAUCUAUUUGAGUGAAUUUUCUGGAACUUUUCAAUUUCUCGAACGGUAGUCAUUGAUUAUAACUCUAAUCUUUGAUUUAUUGUUGAUUCCCUUUCAAUAGAGUUAGAUAUCGAGAUUUGAGGGUCAAUUCUUAUGAUUGAACAAGUGUUAGGGUUCCAUUUUAAGAGUUAAUUAUCAUCUUACAUGUGCUAAUGGAGAAUUUCUACGUUUUUUGUUCACAGAUCAUUCGUGUAACUCUUCUUUACUCUUUAUCUUUUGCUUAUUUUUCAUGGGUAACUUAACCCUCGUUAAAGGAUGACUUGAACUAGAAGAAAAUUCUUGGUUUGUGAUUUGAUGACAGGUUGCUUCAAUGAAUUCAUAUGAGUUGUGUUUUUUGUUUGUGCUUGAUGUUUUUAUCUGUUUUAUCAUUGAUUAGAUUAUUCAUGUUUAGAAAUGAUAGGGAAAUCUAUGAAUGCUUGAGAUUAGAAUUUCAUGAUUUUGUAGUGUGUGUAUAAUUCUUUCAUUAAUCUUGAUAGCAAAAUUAAAAUUGAUCAAGUUUUUUUUUAGUUUUAUGGAACUAAAUUUUUUUCGCAAAUGUGAAUGAUUAAAUUGUCUCACUCUUACAAUUUUGAGAGAACCAAAAUAUUGAUUUGCUACAAUGAAAAUGCAAUUUUCUUAUAUUUUGAGCUUUUAAAUUAUAGAAGCUAUGUUGUUGUUGUUUUUUUGGAUGGUUUUACAAAAUAACGAAGCAAAACAAAAAGAAAAAAAAAGUUUUAAGUUUAUCUUUUAGGAUACGAGACUCCAUAUUAAGUGAAGACACCCUCAAUGAGUAAAGCACCUUGAAUUUGAUCAUACUUUAUUCAUAUUAUGUUCCCUAAGAACAUUCACCAAUGUAGUGUUACCAUUUCCAUGUGAAGCAUCUCUAAUAUAAAAGGAUGUUAGUAGUAUAAGUGUGCAAGGUAUGAUCACGAUCAACAACAAUCAGGUCAACCACUUUCAAGCAAUCACUCUAACGAAUAAUGUGGUUAUAGCCUUUGUUGUGACAAAAAUUUCAAGCAGUCACUUUCACGAAUAAUGUGGUUAUAGCCUUUGUUGUG
RNAcentral lists this long non-coding RNA (1142 nucleotides) under Medicago truncatula (barrel medic). RNAcentral's name for it is "lncRNA gene16971". The record is from RNAcentral. Lineage: Eukaryota; Viridiplantae; Streptophyta; Magnoliopsida; Fabales; Fabaceae.